GGGGAAUAUUGCGCAAUGGGGGAAACCCUGACGCAGCAACGCCGCGUGGAGGAAGAAGGUCUUCGGAUUGUAAACUCCUGUCUUCUGGGACGAUAAUGACGGUACCAGAGGAGGAAGCCACGGCUAACUACGUGCCAGCAGCCGCGGUAAUACGUAGGUGGCGAGCGUUGUCCGGAAUUACUGGGCGUAAAGGGCGCGUAGGCGGCUCUUUAAGUUAGAUGUGAAAACCCGAGGCUUAACUUCGGGAGUGCAUUUAAAACUGAAGGGCUUGAGUGCAGGAGAGGUAAGUGGAAUUCCUAGUGUAGCGGUGAAAUGCGUAGAUAUUAGGAGGAACACCAGUGGCGAAGGCGACUUACUGGACUGUAACUGACGCUGAGGCGCGAAAGCGUGGGGAGCAAACAG
RNAcentral lists this ribosomal RNA (402 nucleotides) under uncultured bacterium. RNAcentral describes it as "bacterial SSU rRNA". It matches the Rfam family "Bacterial small subunit ribosomal RNA", at positions 356 to 775 of the family's 1533-position model. The record is from RNAcentral.